This is a long non-coding RNA of Lycium barbarum (goji berry), 1854 nucleotides long. RefSeq lists it as uncharacterized. NCBI's taxonomy places the organism in Eukaryota, Viridiplantae, Streptophyta, Magnoliopsida, Solanales, Solanaceae. The transcript is spliced from 2 exons. The record is from RefSeq and is a predicted model, not a curated record.
GGUUGAUACAAAUGUUAUACCCCGUAUAUUUAUACGUCAAAUUAUUCGCAAGCAAGUCGAAUCAAGUUAAAGGCGGAAUUAUUUUCGGACACGAAAUAGAAAUCUUUAAUUUUUUUUAAUUUUAAUUAAAACAUAAAUUGUUUAUAAAUUUUAUUGGUAUAAAGAUAUUAUUGGAGAUUAGGGGUAAAUUAACUAUGAUUAGAUUAUUAAGUGGGAUUAAAAUUUAAUCACUUCAUUAAUUAAUUAAGCCUAAGGGGCCAUGUGGGCCCCACCCGAAUAAAAAAAAAAAGAAAAAAAAAGGGGGGAAUCAAAUCUGAAAAUUAAAGAAACAAGGUGCAAAAGUGAGUCCUCAAAAGAGGGAAUACGUGUAGCAAUAUGGGGAAUAAUAUAUAAAAUAAGGCAUAGUGCAAAUGACACUUUCCAACUCCACUUGUUGAAAAAUCAGCUUUCAAGAACUAAACAAACCAAGAAAAAGAAGAGUUGAAAGAGAAGGAGGUCACGGCUAGAGUGGAGAAAAAACAAAAUCAGUUUUGUGAUUUAAUAAAAUUCUAAGGAGAAGACAAGGAGAGGGAGGUGGAGAAGCAAGAAUAAGUAUAAGAAUUUAAGACACAAAUUGGAGCCAAGUAUUCAAGGUAAGAAUUGGUUAUUUCUUUUACAUUUAUAAUGAGUUUGGAUACAUUAUGAACAUGUAUAGAUGAUGAAUUGAAUGUAUAUAAUUUUUUUUGCAUGUCGGUAUUGGAUUGUUGUUGUUGAAGUUGAAGUGAGCCGUGAGUGAUAGGUUUAGAUGGAAUCAUGCUUAAUCUUCUUGUACAUGUAUUGGGAGUAAAUUGAAUGUGUUGUGGUGUGGAUAAAUGGAUAAAAAAAAAUCAUGAAGUUGUCGUAGUUGUGUUGAAGCCGUGUAGGGGGCUGUUUUGAGGCUAGUUGUGCGUUUGACGUAAAUUGUAUAUUUUAUGAAAAUCAUAUCGUUAUAUUGUGGAUUGUGAUACAAAACAUGACUUAAAAAUAAGGAAAGCAACGAGAGGGCUGCUCACAGUUUAGGGGACUGGUUUCGGCCAGCUUUGGGAAAAUUUUUGGAUUGUUGGAAAAAAAUUAUGUGAAUGGUUUAGAAGUCCUCUAAUGUUGUUAGUAUGGAUUUGGGUUAAUAAUCGAAUGUACGAACGAUAUUGUGGCUUGAAAGUAAGCCGUUGAAACGAAUAUUUGGAAAGUUGUUGAAAGAUGUAAAAGAGAGCUAUUAAUGUUGUUUUGCCUUUCGAAUUGAUUAUUGAUGUUGCUAGGUUGGUUAUUGUGGUUGUUGUUGAUUUUGAGCGAGAUAAAUUCUCGGGAUGGCCUAUUUAUAGGGGAAGUGCUGCCGAAUUUUCUGUAGAAUUUAAUGAUUAGUUGGAAAGAAUGGCUCAAGUGUCCUUAACUAAUGUUUGGUAUUCGUUGGCGUAUUUGUAGACCUUGGGGAGCCCGAGGCGUAGAUUGGAAAUUUACUUUAGAUUGGCUAUUUUGGAAGUGCGUAAGAGGUACAGACGCACAGCCUGGUGAUCCACCUGUUUAGGACACCCUUUCUGCUAUUCGGAGUGCUCCUCUCUUUCCGGAGCUUAUACUUUUGGUAUAUAUAUUUUUAUUAGUGCAUUUGUAUAUAUUCGUUCAUGGGUACGGCGGGGGCCCUGUCCCGUCAUAUGAUUCUGUCGGUCUGUUUAGAGGUCUGUGGACAUGUUUGUGGGUUAGGGUCUUUCUGUAUGGAUGUAUGUACAUGUCGUUUGGGCGAUCCCAUACGCCGAGGCGGCCGGUCCGCAUAUGUUGUUUGGGCGAUCCUAUACGCCGAGGCGGCCGGUCCGCAUAUGUUUAUAUAUUGCUUGGUUAGCCCUG